Molecule: ribosomal RNA, 456 nt
Filed under: uncultured bacterium
Lineage: Bacteria
Description: bacterial SSU rRNA
Rfam family: Bacterial small subunit ribosomal RNA
Source: RNAcentral
GAAUUCAACUUCUACGGGAGGCAGCAGUGGGGAAUCUUGCACAAUGGGGGAAACCCUGAUGCAGCGACGCCGCGUGAGCGAUGAAGGUUUUCGAAUCGUAAAGCUCAGUCCUAUGGGAAGAUAAUGACGGUACCAUAGGAGGAAGCCCCGGCUAACUACGUGCCAGCAGCCGCGGUAAUACGGAGGGGGCGAGCGUUGCCCGGAAUUACUGGGCGUAAAGGGUUCGCAGGCGGCAUGGCAAGUCUGAUGUAAAAGGCGAAAGCUCAACUUUCGUAAGCAUCGGAACUGUCAAGCUUGAGUGAAGGAGAGGCAAGUGGAAUUCCUAGUGUAGCGGUGGAAUGCGUAGAUAUUAGGAGGAAUACCGGUGGCGAAGGCGACUUGCUGGACUUCAACUGACGCUGAGGAACGAAAGCGUGGGUAGCAAACAGGAUUAGAUACCCUAGUAGUCCAGGCGUU